This 492-nucleotide ribosomal RNA is filed under the name uncultured bacterium. RNAcentral's name for it is "partial 16S ribosomal RNA". It matches the Rfam family "Bacterial small subunit ribosomal RNA", at positions 29 to 507 of the family's 1533-position model. The record is from RNAcentral.
AGUGAACGCUGGCGGUAGGCCUAACACAUGCAAGUCGAACGGCAGCACAGUAAGAGCUUGCUCUUACGGGUGGCGAGUGGCGGACGGGUGAGGAAUACAUCGGAAUCUACUUUUUCGUGGGGGAUAACGUAGGGAAACUUACGCUAAUACCGCAUACGACCUACGGGUGAAAGCAGGGGAUCUUCGGACCUUGCGCGAUUGAAUGAGCCGAUGUCGGAUUAGCUAGUUGGCGGGGUAAAGGCCCACCAAGGCGACGAUCCGUAGCUGGUCUGAGAGGAUGAUCAGCCACACUGGCACUGAGACACGGUCCAGACUCCUACGGGAGGCAGCAGUGGGGAAUAUCGGACAAUGGGCGCAAGCCUGAUCCAGCCAUACCGCGUGGGUGAAGAAGGCCUUCGGGUUGUAAAGCCCUUUUGUUGGGAAAGAAAAGCAGCAGGUUAAUACCCCGCUGUUCUGACGGUACCCAAAGAAUAAGCACCGGCUAACUUCGUG